Molecule: ribosomal RNA, 122 nt
Filed under: Neogale vison (American mink)
Lineage: Eukaryota; Metazoa; Chordata; Mammalia; Carnivora; Mustelidae
Source: RNAcentral
GUCUACGGCCAUACCACCCUGAAUGCGCCCGAUCUCGUCUGAUCUCGGAAGCUAAGCAGGGUUGGGCCUGGUUAGUACUUGGAUGGGAGAAUAUUAGUAAAGAUACAGAGCAUUUGAACACU